GAUCAUGGCUCAGGAUGAACGCUGGCGGCGUGCCUAAUACAUGCAAGUCGAACGCUGGAAAUCUAGCUUGCUAGAUUGAAGGAGUGGCGAACGGGUGAGUAAUACAUAAGCAACCUACCCACGAAGACUGGGAUAAUCUCUGGAAACGGGGACUAAUACCGGAUAGGUAAUCGGAAGGCAUCUUCUGAUUAUUAAAGGUUAAAAACACUGGUGGAUGGGCUUAUGGCGCAUUAGUUAGUUGGUG
Molecule: ribosomal RNA, 244 nt
Filed under: uncultured bacterium
Lineage: Bacteria
Description: partial 16S ribosomal RNA
Rfam family: Bacterial small subunit ribosomal RNA
Source: RNAcentral